GCAUUUUUAAACAAAGGAAAGGACAUUUGGAAAUAACAUUGACAAAAGAAGAGGAAGAGGAGCACUCUCUGAUGUUUACUAAGAAGGUUCCCAAAACUGGUGGAGGGAAGCCAACACAAAUUUAUCCUCGUCAAGAUCCACUCAACCCAAGUCCAUAAGAUGAUCCCCUACAAACUCAAUCACGUGAAGCAUGGAUCGUGCAUGAAGCAGAAAGUGGCAUGCGCACUAAAAUACACAAUUUUGCUUGGAGGCAAGAAAGUCUCCUCCUUUUCUAGCCUACUGCUGUCUCGAAGAGAGGGGAAAAUGGCUCUGGGUAUAACCUCCAGCC
This is a long non-coding RNA of Chrysemys picta bellii (western painted turtle), 328 nucleotides long. RefSeq lists it as uncharacterized. The record is from RefSeq and is a predicted model, not a curated record. NCBI's taxonomy places the organism in Eukaryota, Metazoa, Chordata, Testudines, Emydidae.